RNAcentral lists this transfer RNA (89 nucleotides) under Planctomycetota bacterium. RNAcentral's name for it is "Planctomycetes bacterium (groundwater metagenome) tRNA-Ser". It matches the Rfam family "tRNA". Rfam says of the family: Transfer RNA (tRNA) molecules are approximately 80 nucleotides in length. Their secondary structure includes four short double-helical elements and three loops (D, anti-codon, and T loops). The record is from RNAcentral. Lineage: Bacteria; Pseudomonadati; Planctomycetota.
GGAGGAGUCGCAUAGUGGCCGAGUGCGCGCGCUUGGAAAGCGCGUGAGCGGGGUAACCUGCUCCGCGGGUUCGAAUCCCGCCUCCUCCG